This is a long non-coding RNA of Panicum virgatum (switchgrass), 1665 nucleotides long. RefSeq lists it as uncharacterized. The record is from RefSeq and is a predicted model, not a curated record. Lineage: Eukaryota; Viridiplantae; Streptophyta; Magnoliopsida; Poales; Poaceae. The transcript is spliced from 3 exons.
UGUGGUUUGGUAUAAUAAUGGUAAACGGAAGCCGCCCCAGUUCCUGACAGCCGCGCCUCCUCCUCACCCUCGCGCUGCCGGCUCUCGCUCUCGCCCACCCCCUCGCACCCGUGGAUGCUAACCCCCCUCACGCCCUCCGCCUCCCAGCGCAGUUUCUCUCCCGUGCGCGUGCCGCCCCCCUGCUCCAAGGCAUGGUCGAAUUGGGGCUCCGAAAUCCGAAUCCAUGCCGAGCACCGCGGCGGCGGCGGCGGCGAUGCAGGGGAGCAGGAGGAGGACGGAAUCAAGCGGAUCGAGGCCGGCUGCGAGCAGCGCGACCUUGAAGAUGCCGAGCCACGUGAGGAAGUAGUGGCGACGGCCCGGGUGGUGGGGAGGGGGAGAAAGGGCCAGGUCUCCGUUCGGCCGUCUUCUUCGACGCCCUCACGUUCGGCCGCCUUCUUCGACGCCCUCACGUUCGGCCGCCUUCUUCGACGCCCUCACGCGCUCGGCAGCCUCCAUCCUCGCUGCCGUUAAGCGCUCGCCAGCGUGGCCGCCACCCACCCCGUUGCCUGGUUUAACCCAAAGGUGAGCCAAGCUCUAGCCAAUUCGUCAUACUUGUGUGUCGUUGCCACUGCAAAUGAAAUACCCUGUAUCUUUUGCACCAUAUGUGAGGUGUAUUUGGUGGGGGUGCUGGUGUUGGUGCCAUAUAGGCGCCAGUAGUGCUUGUGCAAUGUGCUUGCUCGUCUUAUCAGCAGUCUCUGCAUAGACGUAGCUGUGUGCUUGCAUUCACCAUGGGUUUCGGCUACCAAUUUCGUUCAAGUGUAUGACAAAAGGUAUAGUUGGGUAUAUACAUUCAGUAUUAGUUUUCUUGCUCAUUCAUUUCUUGUAAAGAGAAAAUUGAGAGAUUUUUUGCUUUGCUAUUGUUAUAUGAUGUGCUUCUCUGGAUGUGCUGCAGUGGGUAUACGUGGUAAAAUGCUGGAGCCGUCAGCAAUUGAAGUGCCAAUUGCUGCCUCGGUCAGCAAUGUUUUCUGAUCUCGGUUUUAGGAUCAAUUCAUCCUAGGUUUGGUUUUCAGAUGUAAGUACCAUGGGAUCUUGGUUUUAAGAUCAAUGUCUUCCAAUAUUGCAAGGCUUGCUUUGUUCAAAGCUUGUAGCCCUGUUUUAAUAUUGCAAGGAUUAGAAUGUUGUGGCGCCAAGUUUGAGUCUGUUUACCUGAUGCCAAUGUUCGUGCUUACGUGAUGUGUUUAUCCAUUUGCUAUGUGAUAAUUAACUCCAGAUCUUAGCAAAAAUAGUGGAAUAGACUAACCAUUUUCAGUUCUAUGCUAGGUCUUAUGGAAGUGAAAUUAAUUUUCCUAUACAGUUUGGAGAGGACCUAAUUUGCUAGAAGGUAGCCAGUGCAUGUUGAUUCUAUUUAAAGGGUUGUAGAGAUAUUGAUAUCCAUGCUAAGAUGUCGACAUUUCUGCUUCAGUUAUGCAGGUUGUCACUUUCAAAGAGUUUGAUGCUCUUUGAUGGCAGAGGGUUUCCCAUUGAAGUGAAAAGGGCUGAAUAGAGUUUACCUUAAUAUUACUCUAUGAAAUGUCUGAUGAUUCGGUGUGAUUGUCACUUGAAAGCUUGACAUUGUAUCUGUAUGGAAAUAUGUUAUUUAUACUGUAUUUUGGCACAAGUAUAUUUGGCUGUUUUGAUUUUGGGCUA